RNAcentral lists this ribosomal RNA (508 nucleotides) under uncultured bacterium. RNAcentral describes it as "bacterial SSU rRNA". It matches the Rfam family "Bacterial small subunit ribosomal RNA", at positions 28 to 527 of the family's 1533-position model. The record is from RNAcentral.
GACGAACGCUGGCGGCGUGGAUUAGGCAUGCAAGUCGAACGGUAUCAUCCUUUCGGGGGUGAGAGAGUGGCGAACUGGUGAGUAACACGUAGGUUAUCUACCCUCAAGACGGGGACAACCCAGGGAAACUUGGGCUAAUACCGGAUGUGAGCAACUUUUAGUGUUUGAAAGGUGGCGUAAGCUGGGUCGCUUGGGGAUGAGCCUGCGUCCUAUUAGUUAGUUGGUGAGGUAACGGCUCACCUAGGCAAUGAUAGGUAGGCGGCCUUAACGGGUGGUCGCCCACACUGGGAUUGAGAUACGGCCCAGACUCCUACGGGAGGCAGCAGUCGAGAAUAGUCUACAAUGGUCGGAAGACUGAUAGUGCGACGCCGCGUGAACGAUGAAUCCCUUCGGGGUGUAAAGUUCUUUUAUAUGUGAGCAGUGCUUCUUAUAUUAACAGUAUGGGGAAGAGAUAUUAGCAUAUGAAUAAGCAACGGCUAACUCCGUGCCAGCAGCCGCGGUAAGCACG